UAGGGAAUUUUGCGCAAUGGGCGAAAGCCUGACGCAGCAACGCCGCGUGAGUGAUGAAGGCCUUCGGGUUGUAAAGCUCUGUCAGGGGGGAAGAAACUACUGGAUUAAUACUCCAGUACUGACGGUACCCUCAGAGGAAGCACCGGCUAACUCUGUGCCAGCAGCCGCGGUAAUACAGAGGGUGCUAGUGUUGUUCGGAUUUACUGGGCGUAAAGGGAGUGUAGGUGGUGGUUUAAGUCAGUGGUGAAAAUUCGGGGCUUAACCCCGAACUUGCCUUUGAUACUGAAUCACUUGAGUAUGGAAGAGGUCGAUAGAAUUCCUGGUGUAGCGGUGGAAUGCGUAGAUAUCAGGAGGAAUACCAAUUGCGAAGGCAGUCGACUGGGACAAUACUGACACUGAAACUCGAAAGCAUGGGGAGCAAACAGG
This 426-nucleotide ribosomal RNA is filed under the name uncultured bacterium. RNAcentral's name for it is "bacterial SSU rRNA". It matches the Rfam family "Bacterial small subunit ribosomal RNA", at positions 355 to 776 of the family's 1533-position model. The record is from RNAcentral.